AUGUCCUCCUCUCACCGCUCGCAUCUCACAUGUCGGCCGACCACCGGCACAACAACGUCCGCUCGUCGGUCGGGCUCGGCCCUAGCCCAACAACUCAUCGGCGAGCCUUUGCCGAUAAUCAAGUGUGACCACUGCUGGCGGCUGGUGGUGCGCCACGUUUCGAGCAUGCCGAAACAUCCCGAAUGGGUUUUCUUCAAGUGCGAAAAGGACGGAGACGGAUGCAAAUUUUGGUAUUGGGAAGAAGAAUAUAUUGAUCUAUUGAUAGCAAGAAAUUUGCUUGAUGUUGGUGCAUUAGUUGCUAGAGAUGAAGCUAGAGAGGAUGCAAUGUUCAAGUUCGAAGAGGAAGAGAAGAAAAAAGUGUGCAAGCUCGAGAAGCCGGUAGGGAAAAGAAACAAUGUAGUCAAUAAAGAGAUGGAGAAAGCAUUGAUCGGAUUAACAGGAGCAGUUAAGGAAGUAGUGUUUCUGUUAAAAUGUGUAAUUUUUCUUGUAGUUUUCUUUGUAUUGGUUCUCUUAGCGAAGAAUUGGUGGAGUAUGUAA
Molecule: ribosomal RNA, 537 nt
Filed under: Triticum aestivum (bread wheat)
Lineage: Eukaryota; Viridiplantae; Streptophyta; Magnoliopsida; Poales; Poaceae
Description: partial small subunit ribosomal RNA
Source: RNAcentral